This 253-nucleotide ribosomal RNA is filed under the name uncultured bacterium. Its description in RNAcentral is "partial 16S ribosomal RNA". It matches the Rfam family "Bacterial small subunit ribosomal RNA", at positions 524 to 776 of the family's 1533-position model. The record is from RNAcentral.
UACGUAGGGACCGAGCGUUGUCCGGAAUCAUUGGGCGUAAAGAGCGUGUAGGCGGCCCUUUAAGUCCUGCGUGAAAUCCUGCGGCUCAACCGCAGACGGUCGUGGGAAACUGGAGGGCUAGAGUGCGGGAGAGGAGAGUGGAAUUCCCGGUGUAGCGGUGAAAUGCGCAGAUAUCGGGAAGAACACCCGUGGCGAAGGCGGCUCUCUGGAACGCAACUGACGCUGAGACGCGAAAGCGUGGGGAGCGAACAGG